CUACGGGAGGCUCCAGUCGAGAAUCUUCCGCAAUGGACGAAAGUCUGACGGAGCGACGCCGCGUGGUGGAUGAAGCCCUUAGGGGCGUAAACACCUUUUAUGAGGGAGGAAGUUUAUUGACGUUACCUCAUGAAUAAGGGGCUCCCAACUCUGUGCCAGCAGGAGCGGUAAUACAGAGGCCCCAAGCAUUAUCCGGAUUCACUGGGCGUAAAGGGUGCGUAGGCGGUGUUAUUAGUCGGGUGUUAAAUCCUGGGGCUCAACCUCAGAAUCGCAUUCGAAACGGUAACACUAGAAGAAGUCAGAGGUAAACAGAACUCUCGGUGUAGGGGUGAAAUCCGUUGAUAUCGAGGGGAAUACCAAAUGCGAAGGCAGUUUACUGGGACUUUCUUGACGCUGAGGCACGAAAGCGUGGGUAGCGAAUCGGAUUAGAUACCCUAGUAGUC
RNAcentral lists this ribosomal RNA (443 nucleotides) under uncultured bacterium. Its description in RNAcentral is "partial 16S ribosomal RNA". It matches the Rfam family "Bacterial small subunit ribosomal RNA", at positions 339 to 795 of the family's 1533-position model. The record is from RNAcentral.